AUGGUGAUGAGGUCAGUUUGUCUUUCAUAAUGUGAUUAGCUGUCUCAUGAUCUUCA
This 56-nucleotide microRNA precursor is filed under the name Octopus vulgaris (common octopus). Its description in RNAcentral is "Ovu-Mir-12510_pre stem-loop". RNAcentral also lists the same sequence under 1 other name. The record is from RNAcentral. Lineage: Eukaryota; Metazoa; Mollusca; Cephalopoda; Octopoda; Octopodidae.